UACGUAGGGUGCAAGCGUUGUCCGGAAUUAUUGGGCGAAAGAGCUCGUAGACGGUUUGUCGCGUCUGCUGUGAAAACGCGAGGCUCAACCUCGCGCCUGCAGUGGGUACGGGCAGACUAGAGUGCGGUAGGGGAGAUUGGAAUUCCUGGUGUAGCGGUGGAAUGCGCAGAUAUCAGGAGGAACACCGAUGGCGAAGGCAGAUCUCUGGGCCGUAACUGACGCUGAGGAGCGAAAGCGUGGGGAGCGAACAGG
Molecule: ribosomal RNA, 252 nt
Filed under: uncultured bacterium
Lineage: Bacteria
Description: partial 16S ribosomal RNA
Rfam family: Bacterial small subunit ribosomal RNA
Source: RNAcentral